Long non-coding RNA from Xenia sp. Carnegie-2017, 351 nucleotides. RefSeq lists it as uncharacterized. The record is from RefSeq and is a predicted model, not a curated record. NCBI's taxonomy places the organism in Eukaryota, Metazoa, Cnidaria, Anthozoa, Malacalcyonacea, Xeniidae. The transcript is spliced from 3 exons.
CGAAAUAACCGAUCGAAAGCGCAGACAAAUUAUUCGACAUACUCUCCAUAAGCCAUCGCUGAAGGAAACAUGUUCUCUCGAUGAGGAAGUACCAUCUACUAGUGAUGGAGCUGAGCAUGUUGAAGUAUGCACUGGGGAAGCAAACGAUUCGCCAUUUGAAGAAGAACUACAUGCAGUUGGUGAAGAUAUUUGUGAAUCCCAGUCUCCAUGUAAAUCGUGCCAUCGUCUUAAGAAAAACUUACAUCUUUACAAAAGACUUUAAGCUGUGGAACAGCAAAGACAGCAGUUACAAGACCUAACAGAUGAUGCAGAUCAAAUAUUAAAUAGCUCUGGGAAUAAAAGUACUGCAAA